This 1313-nucleotide ribosomal RNA is filed under the name uncultured Alphaproteobacteria bacterium. RNAcentral's name for it is "uncultured alpha proteobacterium 16S ribosomal RNA". It matches the Rfam family "Bacterial small subunit ribosomal RNA", at positions 33 to 1393 of the family's 1533-position model. Lineage: Bacteria; Pseudomonadati; Pseudomonadota; Alphaproteobacteria. The record is from RNAcentral.
ACGCUGGCGGCACGCCUAACACAUGCAAGUCGAACGAAGUAGCAAUACUUAGUGGCAGACGGGUGAGUAACAUGUAGGUAUCUGCCCUUUGGCCUGGAAUAACACGAGGAAACUUGUGCUAAUACCGGAUAAGUCUUUACGGAGAAAGCUUUAUGCACCAUUGGAUGAGCCUGCACUUGAUUAGUUUGUUGGUGGGGUAAUGGCCUACCAAGACUGUGAUCAAUAGCUGAUUUGAGAGGAUGAUCAGCCACAUUGGGACUGAGACACGGCCCAAACUCCUACGGGAGGCAGCAGUGGGGAAUCUUGCACAAUGGAGGAAACUCUGAUGCAGCGAUGCCGCGUGAGUGAAGAAGGCCUUUGGGUUGUAAAGCUCUUUCGUCGGGGAAGAAAAUGACUGUACCCGAAUAAGAAGGUCCGGCUAACUUCGUGCCAGCAGCCGCGGUAAUACGAAGGGACCUAGCGUAGUUCGGAAUUACUGGGCUUAAAGAGUUCGUAGGUGGUUGAAAAAGUUAGUGGUGAAAUCCCAGAGCUUAACUCUGGAACUGCCAUUAAAACUUUUCAGCUAGAGUAUGAUAGAGGAAAGCAGAAUUUCUAGUGUAGAGGUGAAAUUCGUAGAUAUUAGAAAGAAUACCAAUUGCGAAGGCAGCUUUCUGGAUCAUUACUGACACUGAGGAACGAAAGCAUGGGUAGCGAAGAGGAUUAGAUACCCUCGUAGUCCAUGCCGUAAACGAUGUGUGUUAGACGUUGGAAAUUUAUUUUCAGUGUCGCAGGGAAACCGAUAAACACACCGCCUGGGGAGUACGACCGCAAGGUUAAAACUCAAAUGAAUUGACGGGGACCCGCACAAGUAGUGGAGCAUGUGGUUUAAUUCGAAGAUACGCGCAGAACCUUACCAACACUUGACAUGUUCGUCGCGACUCUAAGAGAUUAGAGUUUUCGGUUCGGCCGGACGAAACACAGGUGCUGCAUGGCUGUCGUCAGCUCGUGUCGUGAGAUGUUGGGUUAAGUCCCGCAACGAGCGCAACCCUCACUUUUAGUUGCCAUCAUUAAGUUGGGCACUCUGAAAGAACUGCCAGUGAUAAGCUGGAGGAAGGUGGGGAUGACGUCAAGUCCUCAUGGCCCUUACGUGUUGGGCUACACACGUGCUACAAUGGUAUCUACAACAGGAAGCAAGACUGCGAAGUUAAGCAAAUCCCUAAAAGAUACCUCAGUUCGGAUUGCACUCUGCAACUCGAGUGCAUGAAGCUGGAAUUACUAGUAAUCGUGGAUCAGCGUGCCACGGUGAAUACGUUCCCGGGUCUUGUACUCACCGC